GGACCCAUCACUUUUAUUCCAGAACUUGAUCACAAGGCCACACAGAACUGAUAGAGGCUGAAGAAUGCAGUCUAGACAUGGGACUUGGGAAGAAGAGGAGAACGCAGAGAUUGUUGAGUACUAGCAGCUUGAGUAACUGGCUUAAAUUUCAUUAGCCUGAAUGGAAGGAAGAUAAAGUGGCUGUUGAGUUAACAGAUGGACAAGUUGGAAAGAAAGGACGUAUUGCUGAUCUCAUCUUCUGCUCAGGUAUGUUGUUAAUUGCGGAGACAACCUGAUCUUUGUUGAGAACCAGGUCUUUCAACCUGGGUACAC
This 312-nucleotide long non-coding RNA is filed under the name Bos indicus x Bos taurus (hybrid cattle). RNAcentral describes it as "lncRNA (ENSBIXG00005004107.1)". Lineage: Eukaryota; Metazoa; Chordata; Mammalia; Artiodactyla; Bovidae. The record is from RNAcentral.